CAUCCAACAACUGAAGUUAAGCAAUGUCAAGCCUAGUCAGUACCUGGAUGGGUGACCACUUGGGAAUACCAGGUGCUGUAAG
Acanthosepion pharaonis is the source of this 82-nucleotide non-coding RNA. NCBI's taxonomy places the organism in Eukaryota, Metazoa, Mollusca, Cephalopoda, Sepiida, Sepiidae. The record is from the annotation of a GenBank genome assembly.